GGCUCAGGGUUCUCUGUCCAGUCCUCAGCUGCCCUGGAGCACCCAAGAGGCAGACUGGCUGGGUGAUGCCUACGUGUUGAGAUCCUGGUCCCUCCACACACGCUCUACCAGCUGCUGCGUGAUGCCCGUGUCCAAGAUCAGGUUGUGCAGAAGGAAGUUGUUGCCUGGAACAGGAGGGGAGGGGUGGGGGUGGGGGCAUCUUCUUGCAGCUCCUUGCCCACCCUCACCCCCACCCUUAAGGCUCCACCAGGAGCCUCCUCCAUGACCUGGCCCUGGCCCAGGCCCAGCCCUUAGCUUGUGCCUGCUUAUUUCCACACCUGCCCGGCCUCUGGGUUCCUCUGGGCUGGCCCCAUGCUGCCUGGGCACUGCCCAGAGCCAGCUGCCCUGCCAGGCACUCACACUGCUUGGAGUCUGGAGUCACUUUCUCCAUGAGCUCAAUAAAGUUUUUCAGGAACUCGG
RNAcentral lists this long non-coding RNA (459 nucleotides) under Homo sapiens (human). RNAcentral describes it as "novel transcript, antisense to CACNA2D2". Lineage: Eukaryota; Metazoa; Chordata; Mammalia; Primates; Hominidae. The record is from RNAcentral.